RNAcentral lists this ribosomal RNA (438 nucleotides) under uncultured bacterium. Its description in RNAcentral is "partial 16S ribosomal RNA". It matches the Rfam family "Bacterial small subunit ribosomal RNA", at positions 339 to 795 of the family's 1533-position model. The record is from RNAcentral.
CUACGGGAGGCUCCAGUGGGGAAUAUUGCACAAUGGAGGAAACUCUGAUGCAGCAACGCCGAGUGGAGGAUGACACUUUUCGGAGCGUAAACUCCUUUUAUAUAGGAAGAAGAUGACGGUACUAUAUGAAUAAGCGCCGGCUAACUCCGUGCCAGCAGCCGCGGUAAUACGGAGGGCGCAAGCGUUACUCGGAAUCACUGGGCGUAAAGAGCGUGUAGGCGGAUUAAAAAGUCAGAAGUGAAAUCCUAUAGCUUAACUAUAGAACUGCUUCUGAAACUCUUAAUCUAGAAUAUGGGAGAGGUAGAUGGAAUUUCUGGUGUAGGGGUAAAAUCCGUAGAGAUCAGAAGGAAUACCGAUUGCGAAGGCGAUCUACUAGAACAUUAUUGACGCUGAGACGCGAAAGCGUGGGGAGCAAACAGGAUUAAUACCCCCGUAGUC